Long non-coding RNA from Hippocampus zosterae (dwarf seahorse), 824 nucleotides. RefSeq lists it as uncharacterized. NCBI's taxonomy places the organism in Eukaryota, Metazoa, Chordata, Actinopteri, Syngnathiformes, Syngnathidae. The record is from RefSeq and is a predicted model, not a curated record. The transcript is spliced from 5 exons.
CAUGAUAUACUAGGUUUGAGUUUUCAGCUUUCUUUGACAAACACAGGAGAAGUUAUAAGUCAGAAACAUAGACUCUCCAUGAUUUCAGUCGUCAUGUCCUCAUAUUUCUUCAGACCUGAAAAACCUGAGUGUGUUUCAGGUGACAUGACUUUUGUCUUAACCUAACUCUGGAGAGCCUGUGUUCGAAUGUCCCCAUAUUGCUGUUCCACAGAACUGAACAGUGUUAACUUUCUAUAGUGUGGUAUAUUCAUCCCAAACUCUCCCGUGAGCAAUGUUCAAUGAUAAUUAAUAUUUAUUCAUUUCUUAACUGGUCAGAAUGAAGAAUGCUGAAUAUUUUGACACCGUAAUGUUAUGUUGCAGACACCAAGUGACCUGACUGAACCCUCUGGAGACCAUGAAUGGAGUGAGAGAUCCACUUCAUUCUUACAACAGACACCAAGUGACCUGACUGAACCCUCUGGAGACCAUGAAUGGAAUGAUAGAUACACUUCAUCCUUACAACAGACACCAAGUGUUCCGAUCCUGAUGAAACCUUUUGAAGAUCAAGAAAGGAGAUGAAGAUCCACUUCUUCCUUACAACAGACACCAAGUGACCUGACUGAACCCUCUGGAGACCAUGAAUGGAAUGAGAGAUCCACUUCAUUCUUACAACAGGUUACUACUUCUUAUCAUGAUAUACUAGGUUUGAGUUUUCAGCUUUCUUUGACAAACACAGGAGAAGUUAUAAAUCAGAAACAUGGACUCUCCAUGAUUUCAGUCGUCAUGUCCUCAUAUUUCUUCAGACCUGAAAAACCUGAGUGUGUUUCAGGUGACAUGACUUUUGU